AAGGAACACAAUGUAAAAUGAUUCGUACUUCAAUUGAUAGAUGGCAGUGAAAGUCAAUUACGAGAAUGGACCAAUCGCAGAAUUCACGCUAUUUCAUAUUGUGAAAAUGUAUUUCCAGUUUUCAAUUUAGUGCCGAUGUUAUUAUACUUAAUCAUAUUUUAACGAAUGAAUGUACGAAAUAUGAACAUACUUAAAUAAGUACACAUCGAAAAUUUCUAUAUGUAAUAUGUAUGUUUUAUAUACAUAAAUAUACGAUGUGUAAAUUAUUUACGUUUCUCUGAUACUAUCAAUGUUUAUAAAAUUUAUUUUUAAUAUUUAUUUAACUUUCACGGUGGCUUACCUUAUUAAUAAUAUGGGUAGUUAAAUUAUUAGUAUCAGAUCAAAGUUUAUUGUUAUUUUAGCAUUAUGUAUUUACAUAAACUAAUUGAUAUCUAUUCUAUAUUAAUAAAAGAAACCUAAAAAUCCUAUCUUUUUAAA
Long non-coding RNA from Bombus pascuorum, 477 nucleotides. RefSeq lists it as uncharacterized. The record is from RefSeq and is a predicted model, not a curated record. The transcript is spliced from 2 exons. NCBI's taxonomy places the organism in Eukaryota, Metazoa, Arthropoda, Insecta, Hymenoptera, Apidae.